This 253-nucleotide ribosomal RNA is filed under the name uncultured bacterium. RNAcentral's name for it is "partial 16S ribosomal RNA". It matches the Rfam family "Bacterial small subunit ribosomal RNA", at positions 524 to 776 of the family's 1533-position model. The record is from RNAcentral.
UACGUAGGGCGCAAGCGUUGUCCGGAAUUACUGGGCGUAAAGCGUGCGUAGGUGGUUUGUUAAGUCUGUUGUGAAAGCCCCGGGCUCAACCUGGGAAUGGCAAUGGAUACUGGCAAGCUAGAGUGCGGUAGAGGGUAGUGGAAUUCCCGGUGUAGCAGUGAAAUGCGUAGAGAUCGGGAGGAACAUCCGUGGCGAAGGCGACUACCUGGACCAGCACUGACACUGAGGCACGAAAGCGUGGGGAGCAAACAGG